RNAcentral lists this ribosomal RNA (532 nucleotides) under uncultured bacterium. Its description in RNAcentral is "bacterial SSU rRNA". It matches the Rfam family "Bacterial small subunit ribosomal RNA", at positions 777 to 1304 of the family's 1533-position model. The record is from RNAcentral.
AAUAGAUACCCGGGUAGUCCACGCCGUAAACGAUGAGUGCUAAGUGUUAGGGGGUUUCCGCCCCUUAGUGCUGCAGCUAACGCAUUAAGCACUCCGCCUGGGGAGUACGGUCGCAAGACUGAAACUCAAAGGAAUUGACGGGGGCCCGCACAAGCGGUGGAGCAUGUGGUUUAAUUCGAAGCAACGCGAAGAACCUUACCAGGUCUUGACAUCCCGCUGACCGCUCUAGAGAUAGAGUUUUUCCCUUCGGGGACAGCGGUGACAGGUGGUGCAUGGUUGUCGUCAGCUCGUGUCGUGAGAUGUUGGGUUAAGUCCCGCAACGAGCGCAACCCUUGAUCUUAGUUGCCAGCAUUCAGUUGGGCACUCUAAGGUGACUGCCGGUGAUAAACCGGAGGAAGGUGGGGAUGACGUCAAAUCAUCAUGCCCCUUACUGACCUGGGCUACACACGUGCUACAAUGGACGGUACAGAGGGUCGCAACCCCGCGAGGGUGAGCAAAUCCCAUAAAACCCGUUCUCAGUUCGGAUUGUAGG